This 519-nucleotide ribosomal RNA is filed under the name uncultured eukaryote. RNAcentral's name for it is "SSU rRNA". It matches the Rfam family "Eukaryotic small subunit ribosomal RNA", at positions 1161 to 1699 of the family's 1831-position model. The record is from RNAcentral.
AGGGCACCACCAGGAGUGGAGCCUGCGGCUUAAUUUGACUCAACACGGGAAAACUCACCCGGCCCGGACACUGGAAGGAUUGACAGAUUGAGAGCUCUUUCUUGAUUCAGUGGGUGGUGGUGCAUGGCCGUUCUUAGUUGGUGGAGUGAUUUGUCUGGUUAAUUCCGAUAACGAACGAGACUCUAGCCUACUAAAUAGAUCGUCGGCUUACAAACGCCGGCGAGACUUCUUAGAGGGACAGGCGGUGAUUCAACCGCACGAAACAGAGCAAUAACAGGUCUGUGAUGCCCUUAGAUGUCCGGGGCCGCACGCGCGCUACACUGAAGUGAUCAGCGUGCUUUUUCAACCUACUCUGUCAAGAGUGGGGAACCCAAUGAACCUUCUUCGUGAUUGGGAUAGGGGAUUGUAAUUAUUCCCCUUGAACGAGGAAUUCCCAGUAAGCGCGAGUCAUAAGCUCGCGUUGAUUACGUCCCUGCCCUUUGUACGCACCGCCCGUCGCUACUACCGAUUGAAUGCUUU